GACGAACGCUGGCGGCGUGCCUAAUACAUGCAAGUCGAGCGGACGAAUCGAAAGCUUGCUUUUGAUUCGUUAGCGGCGGACGGGUGAGUAACACGUGGGCAACCUGCCCUGUAGACGGGGAUAACACCGAGAAAUCGGUGCUAAUACCGGAUAACACGAAAUGUCGCAUGACGUUUCGUUGAAAGACGGCGCAAGCUGUCGCUACAGGAUGGGCCCGCGGGGCAUUAGCUAGUUGGUGAGGUAACGGCUCACCAAGGCGACGAUGCGUAGCCGACCUGAGAGGGUGAUCGGCCACACUGGGACUGAGACACGGCCCAGACUCCUACGGGAGGCAGCAGUAGGGAAUCUUCCGCAAUGGACGAAAGUCUGACGGAGCAACGCCGCGUGAGCGAAGAAGGCCUUCGGGUCGUAAAGCUCUGUUGUUAGGGAAGAACAAGUAACGCAGUAACUGGCGUUACCGUGACGGUACCUAACGAGAAAGCCACGGCUAACUACGUG
RNAcentral lists this ribosomal RNA (498 nucleotides) under uncultured bacterium. Its description in RNAcentral is "partial 16S ribosomal RNA". It matches the Rfam family "Bacterial small subunit ribosomal RNA", at positions 28 to 507 of the family's 1533-position model. The record is from RNAcentral.